Small nucleolar RNA from Suricata suricatta (meerkat), 128 nucleotides. The record is from Ensembl. NCBI's taxonomy places the organism in Eukaryota, Metazoa, Chordata, Mammalia, Carnivora, Herpestidae.
AGCCUCCUGGUGCUUACCACAGGCUGUGUUCUUACACUGACUAUACAGAAAGAGAAGGCAGAGUAAAUCCACCCAUCUACUCCAAAGUGUAGAUUUGCCUGGUCUGUAUUGUGCCUGGGAGAACAUGG